Molecule: ribosomal RNA, 425 nt
Filed under: uncultured bacterium
Lineage: Bacteria
Description: bacterial SSU rRNA
Rfam family: Bacterial small subunit ribosomal RNA
Source: RNAcentral
GAAUAUUGGACAAUGGGGGCAACCCUGAUCCAGCCAUGCCGCGUGUGUGAAGAAGGCUUUCGGGUUGUAAAGCACUUUCAGCGAGGAGGAAAACCUUAUGGUUAAUAACCAUGAGGCGUGACGUUACUCGCAGAAGAAGCACCGGCCAACACCGUGCAAGAAGCCGCGGUAAUACGGAGGGUGCAAGCGUUAAUCGGAAUUACUGGGCGUAAAGCGCGCGUAGGCGGUUUGAUAAGCGGGAUGUGAAAGCCCCGGGCUUAACCUGGGAACGGCAUUCCGAACUGUCAGGCUAGAGUAUGGUAGAGGGUAGUGGAAUUUCCUGUGUAGCGGUGAAAUGCGUAGAUAUAGGAAGGAACACCAGUGGCGAAGGCGGCUACCUGGACCAAUACUGACGCUGAGGUGCGAAAGCGUGGGGAGCAAACAGG